NNNNNNNNNNNNNNCUCCUCCUCCUCCCCCAAAAAAUCAGAUGGUUUUCAAAAAUAAGGCGUCCAAGCGUCCCAUGGCGCGGUGCAGGGAGCCAGCCCCGGCGCGGCGGUCUCGGUGCUGCCUGCAAAGGAGAAAAGAAAGGGGAGGUACGGUUAGCCGAUAUGCCCCGACACCCCCCUGCUCACAGCCACCCCCAAAAAUAACCCCCCAAAACCCACCCUCACCUUCCCGGAGUGGAGGGUAGAGAAGGGGAAAGAAGCGGGGAAGAAAAAAAAAAAAAAUCCAAAAAAAAAUCUAAGGAAAACUUGUGGCAAAAGGCAGGGGCCAAAAAAAAAAAAAAUGAAUUAAGUAGUUAAAAAUAGCAUUUUAAGAAUUUAAACUUUUUUCCCCAAGAGUUACAUUGGUCACGGUCGCAGCCCGGGCCGGGGAGCGCCCGCCCGCAGCCCGGCUCCGGCGGGACCGAGGCACCGCGCUUCGCCCCGGAAAACAAACACACAAAUCCCACAACAACAACAGAGAAAAAAAACCCCACCCACUCAAAUAUUUCUUCUCUUUCUUUCUUUUUUUUCACCCUUUUUUUUUUUUUUAGUUCUUUUAUUUUAUUUUUUUUUCUCCUUUUUCUUUAUUUCUCUCCCGCCGCGGGCUCCGGCGGCGGCAUCGCUUCCCGCAGCUUCGUUUCUCGCCUCUUUUGGAGCCCAUUCCCACGGCUCCAAGCCACCGAUUUGGCUUGUUGUUUGGGCUUUUUUUAAUUAUUAUUAUUUUUCCUUUUCCCAGCGCCGCUUUCACUCGGGAAAACAAAACCCGUAUUAUCAUUUCCCGGCACAGGAAAAAAAAAAAAAACACCAAAAAAAACCAACCCAACCAUAUAUAAAAAACUAUCUAUAUUUAUACAUGAAGCCUGAUGAAAGGCUCCACUCUCCGGCCGUAUUUUGCACUGGGAUAGCAAGAAGUAAUAACCACAGCGGGGAUAAAGUGGAGGUUCUCUCCCUCAAACCCUCUCCAAGCGCUACCGGAGCCCCGGGAGCCGCCGCUCCGGCUCCGCCGCCCGUCCCGGCUCCCGGGCGGGCGCUCCACCGCGGGGGAGGGACGAUUAAAAAUAAACAAAACAAAGUAAAAAAAAAAAAGCAAGAAAGAAGGGAUAAAUAUAAAAUUAUGUCCCAAAAAAUCUCACUGAUUUGCUUUGUCGGGGCUUUUAAAAAAUUAUUUUCGGGUGGAUUUCAGAAUUAUUUAAACCCUGCCUGCGUGGCUGCUCGGGGCGAGCCUCACCCCGGGGACUGCGGGAGCGGCCGGAUCCCGGCUGGAAAGUAACCAAUAAAGGGGAAAACGGCUAAAAAGGGGCA
RNAcentral lists this long non-coding RNA (1340 nucleotides) under Parus major (Great Tit). Its description in RNAcentral is "lncRNA (ENSPMJG00000017398.1)". The record is from RNAcentral. Lineage: Eukaryota; Metazoa; Chordata; Aves; Passeriformes; Paridae.